UCUGGGACAAGCCCUGGAAACGGGGUCUAAUACCGGAUAACACUCUGUCCCGCAUGGGACGGGGUUAAAAGCUCCGGCGGUGAAGGAUGAGCCCGCGGCCUAUCAGCUUGUUGGUGGGGUAAUGGCCUACCAAGGCGACGACGGGUAGCCGGCCUGAGAGGGCGACCGGCCACACUGGGACUGAGACACGGCCCAGACUCCUACGGGAGGCAGCAGUGGGGAAUAUUGCACAAUGGGCGAAAGCCUGAUGCAGCGACGCCGCGUGAGGGAUGACGGCCUUCGGGUUGUAAACCUCUUUCAGCAGGGAAGAAGCGAAAGUGACGGUACCUGCAGAAGAAGCGCCGGCUAACUACGUGCCAGCAGCCGCGGUAAUACGUAGGGCGCAAGCGUUGUCCGGAAUUAUUGGGCGUAAAGAGCUCGUAGGCGGCUUGUCACGUCGGAUGUGAAAGCCCGGGGCUUAACUCCGGGUCUGCAUUCGAUACGGGCUAGCUAGAGUGUGGUAGGGGAGAUCGGAAUUCCUGGUGUAGCGGUGAAAUGCGCAGAUAUCAGGAGGAACACCGGUGGCGAAGGCGGAUCUCUGGGCCAUUACUGACGCUGAGGAGCGAAAGCGUGGGGAGCGAACAGGAUUAGAUACCCUGGUAGUCCACGCCGUAAACGUUGGGAACUAGGUGUUGGCGACAUUCCACGUCGUCGGUGCCGCAGCUAACGCAUUAAGUUCCCCGCCUGG
Molecule: ribosomal RNA, 727 nt
Filed under: Streptomyces sp.
Lineage: Bacteria; Bacillati; Actinomycetota; Actinomycetes; Kitasatosporales; Streptomycetaceae
Description: bacterial SSU rRNA
Rfam family: Bacterial small subunit ribosomal RNA
Source: RNAcentral